GCUCUUCUAGUAUAUUAAUUACAAUUGACUUCCAAUCUCUAAAAUCUGG
RNAcentral lists this transfer RNA (49 nucleotides) under Anas platyrhynchos (mallard). Its description in RNAcentral is "partial tRNA-Gly". Lineage: Eukaryota; Metazoa; Chordata; Aves; Anseriformes; Anatidae. The record is from RNAcentral.